UAAAAGUCACAGAGGAGAUUAUUGCUGUGCUUUUCUUUGUCAAUACCAUCAAAUUUUGUUGCAGUUAUAAAAAGUACAACCAGGUUACCUUUUCUCUUACUGAAUUUCAUGUUUCACAGGUCUGUAACAUUUUUUAUCCAGUAGAGAAUUUUAGAAUAGUUUCUGUAAGCAUUCCAAGAAUUUAAAUGUGAGAGUAGUUUCACAUUGUACUAUCAUGUUUUGCGCCCUUGUUUUUCAAGUACACCAAAGAAAAUGUAUGUUUCCCAAAAAUGAAAUAUGAUGUCCACAUUAAAAAAAUAAAGCCUACAAAAAGUUCCAGAGCUAAAAAAGAUUAUUCAUAUGGCACAAUGUGAUCUCCUACUAGUCCAAAGGUUUAAGUGAAGUUCAUAUAUAU
Molecule: long non-coding RNA, 394 nt
Organism: Dipodomys spectabilis (banner-tailed kangaroo rat)
Lineage: Eukaryota; Metazoa; Chordata; Mammalia; Rodentia; Heteromyidae
Exons: 3
Source: RefSeq, a predicted model, not a curated record